ACAGUGCUUGCUAGGGAAUCGCCUCCCCAAAGGAUUCCAUAAAUGACUCUGUUAGUAUGAUGACAAAGGGAAGAACGGUUCAGACAGAUGAAUGCAAUGCCUUCCAAUGUGUGAGGAAGGGCUUGCGAGAUGACACAACUCCCGGAUGAGGACCAGUGCCAAAGGGAAGCGGAAGGAAGAGAAGCCCAGGAAAGUGAGUGGCUGGCCCAGGGCCACUGUGAGAGGGAGUUUGUUAAGGCUCUCCUGAAACCUCCAGAAGACACUUUUAGCAACUUGACAAAGAGGAGGAGACUGAAGACCAGAAAAUUGACUUUCAUUACUCAAAGAUGCAGUGCUGGGAAGCGACACAGCCAGCAUCCAGAUUUGAGCCAUUCUGCAAAGCAGGGGACUUUUCCCUCUGGGUUCUCUGGAUUUCCAGGCCCUGAGAAGAAGGAUUUGGGCAGAAAUGAGAGAAAGAUGCCUUUGGAGCCAUUGAAAGUGGGAUGUAGCUGUUUUUCUGUUCAUCAAUAGAGGAGUCUGCUGAAUUUAUCAGGUCAUCAUGGAUACACGUAAGGGCAGACCCACACCAACUUGAAAACAGUGAUGGAGAGAGAUUCUGUACAUUAACAGAACCUCUCAGGCUGCACUUCAUUCUGAUAUAGUGACAUCUGGCCAACAUUCUUAGAUGAAAUUUUCAAUAAGUGCUGGCAACUAACACAAUUCAUUAUGCUUUCUCCUGAUAAAGGAUGUGGGCAAGAAUUGCUUUGGCUCUAAAAAAGCUUUCACUUCAUUAUGGGCCUGGAUCAAUCACCAUCCACAGAAGAUACACGCCGGCGACUUCUUUGCACUUGUUAUGCACUUUGUCUUUGGGGCCUGUGAAGAUACUAAGAAACUGUUCUUAUUAGGCAGGCAUUAUUGUUAGCCUCCUCUAAGCUAAAUGCGCUUUUAAGUGUAUUUCUUUGGUAAAGAGAUGAAACCACUGUCUGAACUGAGACUGGCGUGAGGUCACCUGCUUAUCCCCAUUAAAGGAAUGCCAUUUAGAAGAUGUUUUAUUUGUACUUCUGCACAGAAAGAAGUGAUAACAUAUAUUUUCCAUUAAACUGAGAAAGGGAAGUCAGAUUACUCAAUGAUCAUUAUGCAUUAUGCGAUAAGUGGAGAGGUUAAACCUCACGUCCAGUGACUCCUUCCUUCUCUCUCCAUCUUCCCACUAUGUAAGGAAAAUUUAAACACUGCUCUAGGUUAGAGCUGUGGUUUAGAACUAAAGCUGGAGAAGCCUCAGCUAACUGCUUCAUUGUUUUUCACAUCUUCAUUGAUUUUAUGUUCGUAUUUUAGGGAUGAGACAGGAAAAGAAUUAGAGAAAAUAAAAACCUUCCUGAAAACAGGUCUUCUGACAUUGAAAUGAGUUUUAAUAACUGUCUCACCAAAGACGACCUGAUGUAUAAGCAUUAUUUUUCAUUGUACACUUGUGGUUUCUGAGUACUCCACAAUAUAUUGUAGCAGAUUCCUUUGGACAAGCUGUAUUUAAUUUUUUACUGCUUGCCUCUCUCCUUGGCCCUCUAGAAAAAAAAAUGCAGAAUCUUAUGUUACCCAUAGAAUCAAUUAAUUCCUUUGGUCAGAUUUUCUUUACCCUCAAAGAAAAAUUCAAAAGGUUGCCCACCAUUCCGUAGGUAGUUUAUUCUGAAUGUGUCUAAAGAAAAACAUAUAAAUUAAAAUAUAUGAGUAUGUACAAUGGUUCUUACUUAUUAAAGAACUAUAAAUUAUUGCAAAUGAAAUAAGAAUUUGAGAAUAAAUGAGCAUGCUGCAAUGAUGGAGAAUAACAACUAAAAUAUUCCAAAAUAGAGCUUGCAAACCACCCAAAAUAACCAACAUGUGAUUUUGUUCUUCUACAUCUCCAUCAACAAACUAAGAGAGGCAGUGUGCAAUCCAAUGUCAAGCUGCUUAGUAUUUCACCAAUGCUAAGGCAUAAAAGUAUUAUUGGAUACCUUUAUCCUUAUUGGGUAAGGAAGUGAAUAAUUGGCUAGAAAAAAAAACAGCUGGAAAAUUUUUUUCAAAGAAAAGAAUUUUCAACUCUCCCAUACUAUCAUAUUGGUGGUGUAUAAAAGUCUUAUCAGAAAAUAUAUUUUGAUAAAUUUAUAGGCUUCUCUAUGGCCCCUAAAUGGAAUAGGAUUUUGUCUCCAUGUCUGAUAUAAAUCAAUACCAAAUUCAUUGUUCCUAUGAAACAUCAAUUGACACCACUAAUAAAAUACAUCUGAAGUUUUUAAAUGGCAAAGGAAAAGAAGAAAGUAGGUCAGGGAGCUGGCACAUUUGUACUAAUUAAGGUAGCAUCAGUUGCUAUAACAAGUGAACCCCAAGGUACUUUAAUGGCUCAAAAGUGCAGGGGCAGUUCCAGGUUGCCCAGGUGCUUUGCUCUGCACAGGCAGUCAGGACCCAGGCUCAGAGGCUCUGCCAUCAUCAGUUUGAGGAUUAAGAUUGUCUGGGGAAUCAAUACCCAGCAGGUGGAUGGCAAAAGGCUAUGCAUGGUCCAGACCUGGAAGUGGUCUGGACUUUACCCCGCCUCACAUUCUGUUGACUAAGAACUCAGCCACAUGGUCACAGCUAAUUGUAAGUGAGGAUGAGAGUGGAGAUCCAGAUGUAUGUUGGAGAAGAAGAAGGAAAGAGUCACCUAUUGUCAGCAAAAACACUGUGCUGUAUUCACGAGUGCUUGGGAAUACAAAAUGGAAAUUUAUUCAUCUGGAUGCUACAGAAAUUUCCACAAAACCACUUCAUGAGAUAGAAUCUUGAAGGAUAAAACUUCUAAGUUGGGACAAAAAGGUGGAAUUUUGCAUAAUAAAGCGUCCAUUAAGCAGAAUUUGAGUUUAAUGACUGGCCACCAGCCUUCUUCCUAUUCUUCUUUCAUCUCUCCCCUUCCUAUCUGCUUCUCUUCAGAAAAGCACAAAUUAUAUCACAAGCUAUAAAUACUUCAGCCAAUGUUUAGGCAUUUUUAGCAGUGGUAUUUAUGCUUUUAAAACAUUUACUUAUCCUUACAUAAUAAGAUGAGGGCCCUUGUUAAAAACUGAAAUAUUACACAGAACCUCGUUUGCAAACCAUGCAAAUCUGAGUUGUUUUGACUGAAGUAACUUCAAGGAGGCAAAGUCACUGCCAUUCAACCCGCCUGUAUCCCUUCUCCUGCCCCAUGUCAGACCUUAAAGAGUCUCUAAGACACAGGGUGAGAUCAGCUGUUCUAUUUCCAUACUACUGACAGUCAAAUGCCAACGGCCAGUUUUUGUGUACCUACUCCAUAUUUCAGGUGAUCCUAUGUCUCCAGGUUCUUUCGCAUGUUUGGUCAUUCCUUAGGUGAUGUUAAAUAAAAAAAAGUGGUCAAGCAUUUGUCCACCUCAACUUCAUCUCUGGUUUGCUAAACAAGAUUUCCUAAGAGUUUCAGACAGAAUCUCCUUUCCAGUGUGGUUGAAUCUAAUACAUUCUUCAGUGGUCUUUUCCACUGAUGGGCUUUUCUAUUUCUACUUCUUGGUUCUGAGUCAAUCCAGUGGGUGAUUCAGCUUCCCCACCACUGUCCUUAUCUUUAGCUGCACAGGAGACAGAGUGGGAGCAGGCUCUCAGGAAGGAGAGGGUCCUUCUGGGAGAGGAUGGCAUGUUUUCUUAGAGCACAAUGGAGAGAUGUUCAUUUUUCCCGUUGCUUGUCCCUGUCCUGAGGUGGGGCCAAGUCACCGCCAGGCACUGCUUGGAGCCCAGUUUCCUUGCCAUUUCUCUGAGAUCUCUCCCCUUCUCCUCUCCUUUUCCUGGUCUUAUGGACCCCUGUCUCCUUCUCUUCAGAGUGCAUCCUGUGGAAAGUCAAGUUUUUUCUUUUCUUUUUCCCCCCACAGGGUUUUGUUGGUCUCAUUCCAGUAUGUUCUGCUGAUACCAAGGAAACUAUUUGUAUAUACAUAAAAUAACUUGUCAAGGCUUCUGUUGGCUAAAAAGCACAACUUUUUAUGUAAAGAAUUUUUUCCAACAGGUUUUAAACACCCAUUUUAACUCCUUUCUACUGGCUAAAUCCUGCCCUUCUCCUCCUGACCUUGUACAAAAGGAAGCCUUUACAUGUGGACUCAUGGGUUCUUUCCUUUUAGAACUCAAGAUUAAAAAAAAAAGGUUUGGAAUGAAUGCACAGAGGGACCCGUAUACAGAGACAAAGACACUGCAUGGAGGUUGAUCAUAAUGUUCCUCCCUGGAACCCAACAGCAGAGAAAGCAAAUGUCCCAUCACCUGCACCUCAGCCAUUUGUCUCCUUCCCAUGAGUAGACUAUCUUAGGUUUUUAACUGUGUUCGAAGCAUUGUGUUCUUUGAAAAAAUAAUGUAUUAUGGCCAAUAGUGGCUCCUCAAAUAUGUUAAGCAGGAAACUUGACCAGACUGUUUAAAAAGAAAACCACAUCUGAGGUAUGACACUUGCGUUUUUGCGAUCUCACCACAUGCACGUUUCUGCCCCUGUUACUGCUCUCCAUCUGAUUUCCAUAAUGCACGUGCAUCCUGCACAUGCUUAUUAGGACAGAUUGCUGAGUUAACUUAGCAUGGCUUUCCUGCAUUUAUAUUUUCUCCCAAUUUAAAGUUUUAGGAGACACCAAGGCAAUUUUGACAGUUACCUAAUAAAGCUGAAAUCCUGCCUGCGGUUGGAGCGUCCUGGGACCCCGGUUGCCUUGGGCUCUGUGAACGCAGGCUGUACGCCGGUGCUGCACUGAUCAGAACGAGUUUGCCUGCGGUGAGCCCUGGGCAUGCUCUGGGCGGUGGACGCCAGGGGAGCCAGGGACGGUGUAAUCAUCCCGAGGGCCGCUCAGAUAUCGAUGCUCGUGACACCAGCCAGGAACCUCUCUGGAGGCGUGUGCUGCAGCUGGGAAGUCAAGCAAGCCUGAGUGUGACCGGCUGCAACUUCAGUUUUUCUCCAUGUAAAAAAAACCAGGGCAGGGGUCACAGCUGAGGGAUGGACAAGCUUGGCUCUCUGGGGUGCCUGGGAAGAUGGGCGAACAUUCAGGAAACCUGCUGAUAUUUCCAUAAAGGGCCUCCUUUAGUUUUAAAUAUAUACCAUUGGGUUAGUAGGAAAAGGAAAUCUGCUGCGCUGCAGACAGGGAACCUUCACACUCUGAAUUCGCUGGACAGUACGCACCGGUGGGGCAUGGAUGGGGGAAAGGGAGUGACAGGGAGCAGCCUGCUCCAGCGCCAGGCAGGGGUCACUUCAACCCACCCGUGGGACCUCAGGGCACGCGCCUUCUAAGAACGCUCCAACUUCCUUUCCUCGGAUUUGUACUGGGCUGAAAUGCGUCUUCCUAUUUGUGGCCCCUUCAUUAUUUAAGUCGCUGUCUUGUGGUCAACCCUCGCGUGGUGGUGUCUUCGGAGAUGGGGAGCCCAGAGCAAAGGACAGUGUUCCAGAUUUUGAGGGGAAAAGUCACAUCAUAGUGGGAUGGUCACGUUUCCUUUGGUGGCAUUGCAAUCUACCUACAACUCAAGGUCACCUUAGCUAUUUUGGCAGUUAUGUGUAGUUAUGUCAGUGUGGGUGAUUUUUUUUUUUUAAAUAAAGACUGCUUUUAAAUUGAAUAGUUGAUUGUCAAAGGAUACUCAUUGUUGAUAUUUAUUCUCGUCAAGUUAUACACUCUUAGCUACAACCUGCUUUAGAACCCAACACAAAGUUUAUAAAUUUAUUGUUAAAUGGACCCAUCUUUUAAGAUGUAUCAUCAAUACAUUCAAUAAAGAUGUCUGCACAUUUUCUAAAAAUACCUUCUAUGAUAAUUAAAUCACUGAUUGAAGUUGGACAGGGCAGGGUGGAGUGUUUCAACUAGCUUUCUACAUUGAGCUGAUAUCAAUUUAUUAAUAUCGUUUGGAUUUUGUUCACACAGCUAUUAAUCGCUUGAAUUCCGCUAUCAUCCAACCUCCAUGUCUCCUAAGGAAUCAUGGGGAAAUUUGUUAUUUGUUUCCCCUGAAAUUUGUAUUUACUUGUGUAGGUUAUUCAUCUUUGCUAAUGUAGGGAUCCUGUUGCAAAGAAAAUGAAGUUGGCAUGGUCUGUUCUCAGAGGAACCAUGGAGCGGCUAGUAAUUGCUUUUAUCUAAAAAAUGUCUGUAAUAUAUAAAUUAAAAGUUCUGCUCUCAAAUUUUGCCAGAGGUGGAUAUGAAGUUAUCAGAGCAUUUGGAGAUGGCAGGGACAGGGGCAUUGAGAAACGGCCAUGAGACUUUGCAUGUACAUAAAGGACUCCAUUCUAAUUCUCACUGUAGGUAAGACUGCCAUUUACCUUGUCUUGGUUGGUGGCUCUGGAAGGAGAUCAGAUCCUGUCGGGGCAGAACAAGAGACAGAGCAGGCGGUGCUCAAAGGCUGACAGAAUGCUGUGUGCUGUACUUCCCAGAAUCCACUUUAUCUCACUUAUGAAAAUUGAAUAAAUUUUUGACUCUCAGUUUUUCUGAAUCCUCUCUCAUUGUCUAGACAGUUGCCCCUAGCCAUUCUGCAAUCGCCCGUGGAUACCCCUUCCCCACCCUUGUGUGUAUUUCACCUGCACUUGGAGACUUGAAGGUAAUUUAAAGCAACCCAGCUUUUUCUUAGCAAGUCGUUGUUUAAUUUGUAAUCUAGUCCCCUGGUGGCCAAGCAUGUUCUAUCAUUUCUAAUGCAAGUGUCGCUCUCCUUAUUAAAGAAAUGGAAGUAAAAUAGA
This is a non-coding RNA of Ictidomys tridecemlineatus (thirteen-lined ground squirrel), 6637 nucleotides long. NCBI's taxonomy places the organism in Eukaryota, Metazoa, Chordata, Mammalia, Rodentia, Sciuridae. The record is from RefSeq and is a predicted model, not a curated record.